UACAGAGACUGCAAGCGUUACUCGGAUUCACUGGGCGUAAAGGGAGCGCAGGUGGGCAGGUGUGUCGGGCGUGAAAUCCCGGGGCUUAACUCCGGAACGGCGCCCGAAACUAUCUGUCUAGAGGAUUGGAGAGGCGGGUGGAAUUCCAGGUGUAGCGGUGAAAUGCGUAGAUAUCUGGAGGAACACCGACGGCGAAGGCAGCCCGCUGGACAAAUCCUGACACUCAGGCUCGAAAGUAUGGGGAGCAAAAGGG
This 253-nucleotide ribosomal RNA is filed under the name uncultured bacterium. RNAcentral's name for it is "partial 16S ribosomal RNA". It matches the Rfam family "Bacterial small subunit ribosomal RNA", at positions 524 to 776 of the family's 1533-position model. The record is from RNAcentral.